This is a long non-coding RNA of Mauremys reevesii (Reeves's turtle), 1276 nucleotides long. RefSeq lists it as uncharacterized. Lineage: Eukaryota; Metazoa; Chordata; Testudines; Geoemydidae. The transcript has 3 exons. The record is from RefSeq and is a predicted model, not a curated record.
UAUUGCAUUAGAAUCCACAGAGGAAAAUCAGACAUGACAAUGCAACCAUGAAGAUGUAAAAGCUUGUCUGGCAUGAUCUAACCUAUUUUAAUUUCUGAAAAAUGGUUGUUUGAGCCUAUAUAAAAUGCUUUCAAAUUACAAUCUUGCAAUUCUCAUUGGCUUGCUAAGCGAGACUGGCAGUUUGGGGCAAUAAACAUAAGGUAACAAAGUGGAAAAAACGUCCGGUCUUGUUGUUUAAUAACCUCAUUGAGAAUUUUUAUUUCAUCAGUCGUAUCAAAGUGCCUGAUCCAAAGCCCCUUGAAGUCCAGUGGAAAUGCUCCAACUGAUUUCAAUAGUCAUCUGAAGUUCAGUGGGGAGGAGUAACAGACAGAAUAAUACCAAGGAAACAAGACACAUUAGAAAUGUCCUGUCUCUGGGCUCCCAUUGCUAUAGUCCAUCAGUGUUUCACCAAUAUUAACAAACUUAUCCUCACAAAACCACCGUGAAGUAUGGAACUAUCACUACCUCAAUUUAUGGCUGGGGAACUGAGUCACCGAGAGAUUGAGACCUAACCAAGGUCAUCAAGGAAGUCUAUGGGAGAGAUGUUUGAAGUUGUCAACACACAGUAGAAGCAGGAUGAUACCUUUAUAAUUAACAGUAUAAAGUGAACUAAGAAUUUAAGCAGGGCACCUUCUUGCAAUGGUUAAUCAUAGCAAUCUUAUCCUGAACAAAAUAAUUUUAUCUGGCCACAGUUUUAUUAAGCAGCUUACACACAUGACCUGAAUAAUCAAUAAUCUAUUAUCUAUGUGAAAGCAACACUGAACCUGUCUUCAUGUUUUCUAGCCUACCCCCCUAUAUGCAUGGAACUCCCUCCUUGGACUAGUCAGCAAAGCCACUGUCCUUUCUUCCUUCCUCCUUUAGACCAACUUCUAUAACUGCUGUAAGUACAUGAAAUCAGCCAACCAGGGCAAAAUCCACAAAGGCUUUGAAGAGAAAACAAUCCCUCCCCAAACAAAACAAAAAUACAAACAACCUCCUCCCACAACAACACCCCAAACAAAACAAAUCUUUCUCCCCACAUUUAAGGGACCUGGAACCAUCAAGCUGGGGACAUAGCUAGCCUAUGUAACUGUGUGAACAUAUUGUUUAUAACCUUAUCUCCUUAUCCUCCCUUCAUUAUUGUUUUCCAUGCUCAAUUUACGUCUGUCUUAAAUGAGGCUGAAGUCUAGAAACCAUGUCUUUGGGGGUUGUAAAGCACCUCGUACACAGAGCACAAUGGAACCUGCGCUAAAUAAUG